Molecule: small nuclear RNA, 163 nt
Filed under: Macaca fascicularis (crab-eating macaque)
Lineage: Eukaryota; Metazoa; Chordata; Mammalia; Primates; Cercopithecidae
Description: U2 spliceosomal RNA
Rfam family: U2 spliceosomal RNA (bases 1-120)
About the family: U2 is a small nuclear RNA (snRNA) component of the spliceosome (involved in pre-mRNA splicing). Complementary binding between U2 snRNA (in an area lying towards the 5' end but 3' to hairpin I) and the branchpoint sequence (BPS) of the intron results the bulging out of an unpaired adenosine, on the BPS, which initiates a nucleophilic attack at the intronic 5' splice site, thus starting the first of two transesterification reactions that mediate splicing.
Source: Rfam by way of RNAcentral
AUCGCUUCUCGGCCUUUUGGCUAAGAUCAAGUGUAGUAUCUGUUCUUAUCAGUUUAAUAUCUGAUACGUCCUCUAUCCGAGGACAAUAUAUUAAAUGGAUUUUUGGAGCAGGUUCCCCCCGCACCUGGCACACCCAGAUCAGCACCAGCAACCUGUACCUGCC